This 73-nucleotide transfer RNA is filed under the name Dipodomys ordii (Ord's kangaroo rat). It matches the Rfam family "tRNA". Rfam says of the family: Transfer RNA (tRNA) molecules are approximately 80 nucleotides in length. Their secondary structure includes four short double-helical elements and three loops (D, anti-codon, and T loops). The record is from Rfam by way of RNAcentral. Lineage: Eukaryota; Metazoa; Chordata; Mammalia; Rodentia; Heteromyidae.
GGGAGCAUAGCUUAAGUGGUACAAUGCUUGCCUAUUAAGCAAAAGGCCCUGAGUUCAAAUCCCAGCACUGUCA